AGAAGAACAUGAACCCAGUGGAGAGCGCAGCCUUCAUCAGGCUGGGGGACAGGCCCUUGAAGAAGCCCCGGGUGCCUUCUUCCUGUAGCACCUGCCGGGUGAGGUCCAGGAGGCCCCCGUAGCUCCGCACCUGGGGAGAGGAAGGUAGAGGCUGAGGAGGAAGCAGUGACUGAAACCAUGACUGCCCAGCCAGGACAAGGCAGCUCCCAGUAACUGCUUACGGGAUGGAGGAGGCCCUGGAGGAGGGAGUUCCUCACUCCUUCUAGUGCAUGCUGUAACUGAGGAAGGGCCUGGGGGUCAGCAGCUGGAGAGCGCGCCUUCCUGCCUCCAGCAUCAUGUCUGCCUACAUGCCACCAUGCUUCCCAUUACCGUGACAGUGGACGAAACCUCUCAACUGUAAGCCAUUCCCAGUUAAAAGUUUUCCUUUAUAAUGUUGCUGUGAGGCCCAGCACUUGCCUUUUUAAUCAUCACUCCCCCUCCUCCCCCCCACACACACCCGGGAGGCAGAGGCAGGUGGAUCUGAGUUCCAGGACAACCAGGGCUACAUGGAGAAAUCAUGACUCAAAAACAAAGCAAAAAGUUGUUGUGCUCAUGGCAUCGCUUCACAGCGAAAGAACUUUAAGACACCCUCCGAAACAAAACAAACAAACACCUAAAAAGAGAAGUCUUUGAAAAGACCAUCAAAUUAGCCCGCAGCUGGAACAAGCAGUGACCAGGAGGCCAGGUCACUCUGUUCCCCUCCUUCUCUCAUUCACCCUGGAACUCUUCCAGAAGGUUCCCCUGGGAGAGUCAGUCGGGCUAAACCAGGACAGAGGACUAAGUCACUGAACCGUCUUAGGGGUGACUGGGCUGCCCAGUCCUUCAUGGUCUCAAGUUUCCCGCAGUCUAGGAGGAGAGACAGCAGAGAUGCAGGCGUCCUGGCUCGCUGUCCACAGACGCUGGGAAGCUAUCGAGUCUGCCGGCAAACCCAGCCGGGAACUGCACCGUUCAAACCAAACACAAAGUGGGAGAGGCUGUUGUGUCCGGAUUUCUAGAAAUGAGCACUUCUGCAUUGCUGGAGACAGGUCCAGAAAACUGGGUUUUGACUCCUAGGGAGACUGAGGCAGAAGGACCACAGUGUGAGGGCCAGCCUGGACUACACAGCUCCACUCUGUCUUAACAUAAAGGCUAAAAGGAAAGCCGUGACUCACACCUGUAACCUAGCACCCAGGAGGCGAAGGCAAGAGGACUGGGAGCCAGCCUGGGCUAUCUAUAUAAGACCUCAUCCCAAGAAAUUCAGAAAUUCAGACAAAAGGCAAAAUGCUAGCCAAACAUAUACAAGUCCCUGGGUCCCGCUCCCCAGCACCAAAAGGGGUCACAGUAGAGCUCAGGGUAGAGUCCCUGCCUUUUAUGCACAAAGCCCCGAGUUUAUAAACCCAUUGUUACAAAA
Molecule: long non-coding RNA, 1429 nt
Filed under: Mus pahari (shrew mouse)
Lineage: Eukaryota; Metazoa; Chordata; Mammalia; Rodentia; Muridae
Description: lncRNA (MGP_PahariEiJ_G0004680.1)
Source: RNAcentral